GACGAACGCUGGCGGCGUGCCUAAUACAUGCAAGUUGAGCGCUGAAGGUUGGUACUUGUACCAACUGGAUGAGCAGCGAACGGGUUAGUAACGCGUGGGGAAUCUGCCUUUGAGCGGGGGACAACAUUUGGAAACGAAUGCUAAUACCGCAUAAAAACUUUAAACACAAGUUUUAAGUUUGAAAGAUGCAAUUGCAUCACUCAAAGAUGAUCCCGCGUUGUAUUAGCUAGUUGGUGAGGUAAAGGCUCACCAAGGCGAUGGUACAUAGCCGACCUGAGAGGGGGAUCGGCCAAAUUGGGAAUGAGACACGGCCCAAACUCCUACGGGAGGCAGCAGGAGGGAAACUUCGGCAAUGGACGAAAGGCUGACCGAGCAACGCCGCGGGAGUGAAGAAGGGUGUCGGAUCGUAAAACUCUGUUGGUAGAGAAGAAAGUGGGUGAGAGUGGAAAGCACAGCAAGUGACGGUAACUACCCAGAAAGGGACGGCUAACUACGUG
This 497-nucleotide ribosomal RNA is filed under the name uncultured bacterium. Its description in RNAcentral is "partial 16S ribosomal RNA". It matches the Rfam family "Bacterial small subunit ribosomal RNA", at positions 28 to 507 of the family's 1533-position model. The record is from RNAcentral.